Molecule: transfer RNA, 77 nt
Filed under: Gemmatimonadota bacterium
Lineage: Bacteria; Pseudomonadati; Gemmatimonadota
Description: tRNA-Ile
Rfam family: tRNA
About the family: Transfer RNA (tRNA) molecules are approximately 80 nucleotides in length. Their secondary structure includes four short double-helical elements and three loops (D, anti-codon, and T loops). Further hydrogen bonds mediate the characteristic L-shaped molecular structure. tRNAs have two regions of fundamental functional importance: the anti-codon, which is responsible for specific mRNA codon recognition, and the 3' end, to which the tRNAs corresponding amino acid is attached (by aminoacyl-tRNA synthetases). tRNAs cope with the degeneracy of the genetic code in two manners: having more than one tRNA (with a specific anti-codon) for a particular amino acid; and 'wobble' base-pairing, i.e. permitting non-standard base-pairing at the 3rd anti-codon position.
Source: RNAcentral
GGGCCCUUAGCUCAGCUGGUUAGAGCAGCGGACUCAUAAUCCGACGGUCGCAGGUUCGAGCCCUGCAGGGCCCACCA